Long non-coding RNA from Mustela lutreola (European mink), 751 nucleotides. RefSeq lists it as uncharacterized. NCBI's taxonomy places the organism in Eukaryota, Metazoa, Chordata, Mammalia, Carnivora, Mustelidae. The record is from RefSeq and is a predicted model, not a curated record. The transcript has 5 exons.
UCAAGGGUCACCCCCUGGAGAAUUCCACCCACACGGCGCUGGGGGCCAAGUGCCGACGUGUGAUCACUGGUGGGCCUGGCAACUCGGCCAUCUGGGCUUGGCUCAGCUCCAGGGCCAGGAGAAGCGAUUUCACAGAUAGGGGUGGGAUCACCCCAGUGCCCUGGGAAACUUCCUCCCACACAAUUCAGUUUGUUUGGGGGCAUGGAGGCAACAGAAUCUAGGAACCGGGCUCUGUGCAUUCGAACAUGCUGGCAGCAUCCUUGGGCCCAAUGCCAGCCCCGCAGCGGAGAUGAAGCAGGCUGGGACACUCACUAAGACCCGGGAAGGUGAACUUCAUCAGUAGCGGGGGAAGAAUACGGUUCCUGGGUUCCUGGUGCGAUUACUCAGGUCCCCCGCCCAAAGAUGUCUGUGCCUGCAGGAGCUGGGAGGGCAGAAAUCCAAGCCUCAAGCUCUGGAAUGGACAACAGAAGUGCUCCAGGAGCGAGGAAAGGAUUGGAGUGGAGGAGGGGUGCUGUGGCAAGCAGAAUUGUUAUGAAGGAUGAAAAAGAUGAUGGACAUGAUUUGCCCGGGACUGUGCGUGACCUAAAGGAGACUUUUAAAAACUGUUGGAAAGGGGCAUCUGGGUGGCUCAGUGGGUUAAAGCCUCUGCCUUCGGCUCAGGUCAUGAUCUCAGGGUCCUGGGAUCGAGCCCCACAUCGGGCUCUCUGCUCGGCAGGAAGCCUGCUUUCCUUCCUCUCUCUCUGCCUGCCUC